GCCCCAGUGGCUCAAUAGCUGAGCGCUCAGCUGUUAAUUGAAAGGUUGGUAGUUCAAACCACCCAGAGGCU
This 71-nucleotide transfer RNA is filed under the name Loxodonta africana (African savanna elephant). It matches the Rfam family "tRNA". From Rfam's summary of the family: Transfer RNA (tRNA) molecules are approximately 80 nucleotides in length. Their secondary structure includes four short double-helical elements and three loops (D, anti-codon, and T loops). Lineage: Eukaryota; Metazoa; Chordata; Mammalia; Proboscidea; Elephantidae. The record is from Rfam by way of RNAcentral.